Molecule: long non-coding RNA, 1228 nt
Organism: Astatotilapia calliptera (eastern happy)
Lineage: Eukaryota; Metazoa; Chordata; Actinopteri; Cichliformes; Cichlidae
Source: Ensembl
AUCAGUCUUCAAUAAUCAGUCAUGAUCCGAGCUCCACGUGCGCCUGAGACGUGGACCGGGACCCGACGGGACGCUCCACGCGGACGUGUCCGCGGGGCGACCAGUCUGACAGCAGUGGGGAGGAAAGACCUGCGAAAUCUCUCCGUCCCACACCGUGGGUGCCGCAGUCUCCCACUGAAGGAGCUGCUCAGUGCUGUCACAGUCUGCUGCAUGGGGUGGGAGAUGUUGUCCAUCAGGGAUGACAGCUUAGCCGCCGUUCUCCUGUCACUCACCACCUCCACUGGGUCCAGAGGGCCUCCUAGAACAGAGCUGGCCUAGCCCUACUGUCACAGUUCAGCGUUGUUUGUCCGUCGCUUCUCCCGCCCUGAUCUCUGUCCUUCAGUCCAGCGUCAGUAAUGGAAAUGAACCAACGGGCUGUCCGGCUCACAGCAGGUAAUCUGCCUGGUAUGCCAGAUUACCCGUCCGGUGCCGGGAGGCAGACGGCUUGAGUGGAGGCUGACGGAGAGACUGUAAUGGAGGCUCCGGCCAGCAGGGGGCAGCAGGGGGCAGCAGGUGGUUUUACCUGAAGUCAUUACAGCUGAAGUUCUGUGUCUGUGAAUGAUGCAUGCUGGGAAAACGGACCGAGAGCCGCUGUGACAUCGGCACAGGUGGCUCUGCUCUCUGAUUUGAUCCUGAGCUGUGAUGUCAUCGGUGGCGCCUCAGCCACAAAGUUUCCUGACGGCGUCCUGUGUGAGCGCGGUGUCGGGAUGGUCUGUGGCUGUGCCGCAGUAAAGAGGAGGAGUUCUGAUCACGCGCCUCUGCGGUCUGUGAGCUCUGAUCCAGACUCUCCCAGCUGUGUCGUUCCAGCCAGUUUGGGACAAUUUGUUUUUAAUUUGCUGUUUAAAUGUUUUUAAACAGCCAAAUGCAGCAAAUCUCACACUGAUCAAAACUCUGCAAACUAAUGUUCAGUAUAUUUAUUUAUGCAUGGGAAUGAAAAAACUGGAAAUAAAUUAUUAAAUAUAUGAAUGAUUAAAUUACAGUUCUAUUAAUUUGACACACUUGUUCAAAUUUAAAUAGACUGGCGAGGAAAUGAUUAAGACGUAAACCUGAGGGGGGCUAAAUAAGUAUAAACAUAAGUGUAUACUUCUGCCUACUGCUUUUCAAACAGCUGAAUGGAUGAUGUUAUGGACUGUUGGUGAAUGUAUAUGUUCGAAAUAAAAAUGAACUGAACAUUGAAUAAAUUACUGAU